AGGUGGCGGACGGGUGAGUAACGCGUAAAGAACUUGCCUUACAGACUGGGACAACAUUUGGAAACGAAUGCUAAUACCGGAUAUUAUGAUUGGGUCGCAUGAUCUGAUUAUGAAAGCUAUAUGCGCUGUGAGAGAGCUUUGCGUCCCAUUAGUUAGUUGGUGAGGUAACGGCUCACCAAGACGAUGAUGGGUAGCCGGCCUGAGAGGGUGAACGGCCACAAGGGGACUGAGACACGGCCCUUACUCCUACGGGAGGCAGCAGUGGGGAAUAUUGGACAAUGGACCAAAAGUCUGAUCCAGCAAUUCUGUGUGCACGAAGAAGUUUUUCGGAAUGUAAAGUGCUUUCAGUUGGGAAGAAGUCAGUGACGGCACCAACAGAAGAAGCGACGGCUAAAUACGUGCCAGCAGCCGCGGUAAUACGUAUGUCGCAAGCGUUAUCCGGAUUUAUUGGGCGUAAAGCGCGUCUAGGCGGCUUAGUAAGUCUGAUGUGAAAAUGCGGGGCUCAACCCCGUAUUGCGUUGGAAACUGCUAAACUAGAGUACUGGAGAGGUAGGCGGAACUACAAGUGUAGAGGUGAAAUUCGUAGAUAUUUGUAGGAAUGCCGAUGGGGAAGCCAGCCUACU
Molecule: ribosomal RNA, 623 nt
Filed under: uncultured Fusobacteriota bacterium
Lineage: Bacteria; Fusobacteriati; Fusobacteriota
Description: bacterial SSU rRNA
Rfam family: Bacterial small subunit ribosomal RNA
Source: RNAcentral